This 405-nucleotide ribosomal RNA is filed under the name uncultured bacterium. RNAcentral's name for it is "partial 16S ribosomal RNA". It matches the Rfam family "Bacterial small subunit ribosomal RNA", at positions 28 to 526 of the family's 1533-position model. The record is from RNAcentral.
GACGAACGCUGGCGGCGUGCUUAACACAUGCAAGUCGAGCGGAGCGGCGAACGGGUAAGUAAAGCGUGAGUAACUGCCCCACUCUCUGGGAUAACAGUUGGAAACGGAUGCUAAUACCGGAUAGUGGGGGGUGACAAGACGCCUAUCAGCUUGUUGGUGGUGUAGUGGCCUACCAAGGCGAAGACGGGUAGCCGGCCUGAGAGGGCGACCGGCCACAUUGGGCUGAGAUACGGCCCAAACUCCUACUGGAGGCAGCAGUGGGGAAUAGUGCACAAUGGUGGAAACCCUGAUGCAGCAACGCCGCGUGCGGGAUGACGGCCUUCGGGUUGUAAACCGCGUUCAGCCAUGACGCGGUAGUGGCAGAAGAAGCACCGGCUAACUCCGUGCCAGCAGCCGCGGUAAUUC